CUUAUUUGGCUCAAGUUCUGCCGUUAGGGAAUGCAGAAGCUAGUGCAAUUCGAGUAGAGGAAGAAGGAGAAGAGUAGAGACAAUAUGAGCACCAACUGUUUGAUAAAAUGCCAGUAUGAUUGCUGGGGAUUUUGUGAACCGAGAACACAUAGACGUGGAGUUUCAUUUGAUCUCGGAGCAAGAUAGGAUUGAGAAAACUUUGUUCAGCUGGCCAUUUUGAAAGGAUCUUCUUUUGUCAUGGUAAAUUUACUUGGUCCAAUGAAAGAGGUUCUGUUGUAUGGACCACCUUGGGCAGGGAAGACAAUGUAUACUGCGUUCAAGCUGGAGGACUAUUGUGAGAAAAUCUAAUGCUUCAGCUGAGUAAUUAAGAAUGCUUGAGGCAGAUGCUAAGAAAAAGUCUACAAAACUUUGUCUCUACUGUCUGAUGUAAGGGUGUAUUUUGUCCCGGGCCCGGGCCUAAAUGGGCCUCGAAGGGCUUCGUGGUCUCGGGCUUCGUGGGCCUGGGCUCUGGCGGUUCCGGGCCUGACGGUCCCGGUCUUCGUGGGCUCAAUGGGUGAGAUCAGCCCGUGAC
This 571-nucleotide long non-coding RNA is filed under the name Nicotiana benthamiana. RNAcentral's name for it is "long non-coding RNA (NBEN_LNC003536)". Lineage: Eukaryota; Viridiplantae; Streptophyta; Magnoliopsida; Solanales; Solanaceae. The record is from RNAcentral.